CGAGGAACCUUACCAGGGCUUGACAUACGUUGGAAGCGCAUCGAAAGGUGCGUGCCGCUUGCGGCCGCGCACAGGUGCUGCAUGGCUGUCGUCAGCUCGUGCUGUGAAGUGUUGGGUUAAGUCCCGCAACGAGCGCAACCCCUGCUGCCUGUUGCCACCACGAGAGGUGGGGACUCAGGCGGGACCGCCGGUGACAAACCGGAGGAAGGUGGGGACGACGUCAAAUCAUCAUGCCCCUUAUGAUCUGGGCUACACACGUGCUACAAUGGCCGGUACAACGGGCAGCGAAGGAGCGAUCCGGAGCGAAUCCUAAAAAAGCCGGUCCCAGUUCGGAUUGCAGGCUGAAACUCGACUUCAUGAAGCUGGAAUCGCUAGUAAUCGUGGAUCAGCCAAGCCGCGGUGAAUACGUUCCCGGGCCUU
RNAcentral lists this ribosomal RNA (420 nucleotides) under uncultured Spirochaeta sp. RNAcentral describes it as "bacterial SSU rRNA". It matches the Rfam family "Bacterial small subunit ribosomal RNA", at positions 962 to 1382 of the family's 1533-position model. Lineage: Bacteria; Pseudomonadati; Spirochaetota; Spirochaetia; Spirochaetales; Spirochaetaceae. The record is from RNAcentral.